Molecule: ribosomal RNA, 373 nt
Filed under: uncultured organism
Description: partial 16S ribosomal RNA
Rfam family: Bacterial small subunit ribosomal RNA
Source: RNAcentral
GUAGGUGGCAAGCGUUGUCCGGAAUUAUUGGGCGUAAAGCGCGCGCAGGCGGUUCUUUAAGUCUGAUGUGAAAGCCCACGGCUCAACCGUGGAGGGUCAUUGGAAACUGGAGAACUUGAGUACAGAAGAGGAAAGCGGAAUUCCACGUGUAGCGGUGAAAUGCGUAGAGAUGUGGAGGAACACCAGUGGCGAAGGCGGCUUUCUGGUCUGUAACUGACGCUGAGGCGCGAAAGCGUGGGGGAGCAAACAGGAUUAGAUACCCUGGUAGUCCACGCCGUAAACGAUGAGUGCUAAGUGUUAGGGGGUUUCCGCCCCUUAGUGCUGCAGCUAGCGCAUUAAGCACUCCCGCCUGGGGAGUACGGCCGCAAGGCUG